GGUGUAAUAGCCUAGUGGUAAGGCUUGAGGGUUUGGCCUACAGGUCAGGUGAUCAAACCCCUAGGGUUACACCA
Molecule: transfer RNA, 74 nt
Filed under: Asparagus officinalis (garden asparagus)
Lineage: Eukaryota; Viridiplantae; Streptophyta; Magnoliopsida; Asparagales; Asparagaceae
Description: tRNA A4U43_Gln620
Source: RNAcentral